UAGAAUCAUGUGCACUGAAAAGU
RNAcentral lists this non-coding RNA (23 nucleotides) under Cricetulus griseus (Chinese hamster). Lineage: Eukaryota; Metazoa; Chordata; Mammalia; Rodentia; Cricetidae. The record is from RNAcentral.